This 465-nucleotide ribosomal RNA is filed under the name uncultured beta proteobacterium. Its description in RNAcentral is "bacterial SSU rRNA". It matches the Rfam family "Bacterial small subunit ribosomal RNA", at positions 338 to 795 of the family's 1533-position model. Lineage: Bacteria; Pseudomonadati; Pseudomonadota; Betaproteobacteria. The record is from RNAcentral.
CCUACGGGGGGCUGCAGUGGGGAAUUUUGGACAAUGGGCGCAAGCCUGAUCCAGCCAUUCCGCGUGCAGGACGAAGGCCUUCGGGUUGUAAACUGCUUUUGUACGGAGCGAAAAGCCUUGAAUUAAUACCUCGAGGUCAUGACGGUACCGUAAGAAUAAGCACCGGCUAACUACGUGCCAGCAGCCGCGGUAAUACGUAGGGUGCAAGCGUUAAUCGGAAUUACUGGGCGUAAAGCGUGCGCAGGCGGUUAUGUAAGACAGAGGUGAAAUCCCCGGGCUCAACCUGGGAACUGCCUUUGUGACUGCAUAGCUCGAGUGCGGCAGAGGGGGAUGGAAUUCCGCGUGUAGCAGUGAAAUGCGUAGAUAUGCGGAGGAACACCGAUGGCGAAGGCAAUCCCCUGGGCCUGCACUGACGCUCAUGCACGAAAGCGUGGGGAGCAAACAGGAUUAGAUACCCUAGUAGUC